This 510-nucleotide ribosomal RNA is filed under the name uncultured Glomus. RNAcentral's name for it is "SSU rRNA". It matches the Rfam family "Eukaryotic small subunit ribosomal RNA", at positions 569 to 1081 of the family's 1831-position model. The record is from RNAcentral. Lineage: Eukaryota; Fungi; Glomeromycota; Glomeromycetes; Glomerales; Glomeraceae.
AGCAGCCGCAGUAAUUCCAGCUCCAAUAGCGUAUAUUAAAGUUGUUGCAGCUAAAAAGCUCGUAGUUGAAUUUCGGGGUCAGUAGAUUGGUCAUGCCUCCGGUAUGCACUGGUCUUACUGGCUCCUCCUUCCUGAUGAACCGUAAUGCCAUUAAUUUGGUGUUGCGGGGAGACUGGACUGUUACUUUGAAAAAAUUAGAGUGUUUAAAGCAGGCUAACGCUUGAAUACAUUAGCAUGGAAUAAUGAAAUAGGACGUUCGAUCUUAUUUUGUUGGUUUCUAAGAUUGACGUAAUGAUUAAUAGGGAUAGUUGGGGGCAUUAGUAUUCAAUUGUCAGAGGUGAAAUUCUUGGAUUUAUUGAAGACUAACUACUGCGAAAGCAUUUGCCAAAGAUGUUUUCAUUAAUCAAGAACGAAAGUUAGGGGAUCGAAGACGAUCAGAUACCGUCGUAGUCUUAACCAUAAACUAUGCCGACUAGGGAUCGGAUGAUGUUAAUUUUUAAUGACUCAUUC